Molecule: small RNA, 151 nt
Filed under: Phyllobacterium myrsinacearum
Lineage: Bacteria; Pseudomonadati; Pseudomonadota; Alphaproteobacteria; Hyphomicrobiales; Phyllobacteriaceae
Description: sRNA ar9
Rfam family: Alphaproteobacterial sRNA ar9
Source: RNAcentral
UCAUAAUGAGAAAGUAAGAAUAAUUCUGCUUUCCAGCGCGGUCAAAGUCUUGGGAGGAUGUGACCCUGGCGCGGUAAUACGCAGCCACCACGCAAGUGGAAUAGGGUCAGACGCGAUCUAACAAUGCAAGGCGAAAGCCUUGCAUUUUUUU